AUACGGAGAUAGCUGUGGGAUUCAGAUGAUUUGCUAUCAAGGUCUACAUGUUAUGGAUAUUCCGUCUGCUUUGAGUCACUGAGAGAGGGUUGAAACCUCCCACUCUACUUGUGUAUUUGCUCGUUGUUGCAGUUCUGUCCUGCUUUGCUUUCUAUGUUGUUCAGCCAAUGGCUCUAGGACAGGAGUUCUGGAAGCAAGGAGAGCGUGCCCAGAAGAGGGGAAGAGGCACUUGGGUUGGGAGGGAACAGAAACAAGAAGGACGGCCACAGUUCCAGAGAGGACCUGUUAUUGGGAUGGCGCGGUGGUGGGGCACCAGGUGGGAAGAGGCUAUUUAAAUAUGAGGUCACGCGGGGUGUCCAUUAUGAUCUACCAGGGGCAAAGGCAGCUGAUUGUUUGAGAGAGUAUAAAGUCUCUGGGUUGCUAAGGAAUGGUUCAACCAGGGGAAGGCUUGGAGAUCGGUGGAUCCUCCUCCAAACCCUUAAGCUGCUACUGUUUCAUGCUGACCUAGUGAUUUCCUGACCUAGUGAUUUACUCACCUGCUGACCUACUCCCCUUCCUGAACCUGCCCUCGAGUACUUAAUCUGACCCUGACACUGUCCUUGACCCCUUCUUCUCCUGACAAACGCCUUCCCCAGUCCCACCCUCUAUUUCUACCUCCUUAAAACCCUGUCCCCUUCCCACCCCUCCCUACCCACCCACCCCUCCCUCCUCUCCACCCCCCAUCACCACCUCCUCCCCAGCACCCCAGCGCCCCUUGAAAGGACCAAGACAUGAAGGUGCAGAGGCUGUUGUUCUGGCUGCUCUUGCUCCGGUGUCCCAGUUCCCCAAACCCAAAUCUUGUCCGUGUUGUGCCUGACCAUUUCCUUCUUGGCCCUGAUGGGGUUGGAGUUCUAUGGAAACUUCCCAUUAUCACUGCCUCCUUGGGAAUUUGUCUGUUUCUCAUUUAUAUCUGGAGAACCAUUCUCGCUGUGAGUAUACUAAAGUAGCUUAUAUAUACUGUUCUUCAUAAAUAAGCAGAAAAUUGUAUAGUCACUGCACCUUUUCUAUCCAUUCAGUAAUAUAAAUUUCCCUCUAAUACAUCAAUUUUGAUGAUCACCUAGAUUGAAAUACAUUUAAAUUUGUGUUGCAGUGCCUUCUGUGAUC
This 1143-nucleotide long non-coding RNA is filed under the name Zalophus californianus (California sea lion). RNAcentral's name for it is "lncRNA (ENSZCAG00015010525.1)". The record is from RNAcentral. Lineage: Eukaryota; Metazoa; Chordata; Mammalia; Carnivora; Otariidae.